UCAAACUUGUCCUAGAGUGAAUACUACCAAAAUUCCCCAAGAUUUUCCAAUAAAACAGUAGUAUUUUUUGGUGUUUUUUGAUUUUUUAUACUCAGAUGUUAGACGAAUCAGUAAAAUUUUUACAGGUUUUUUUUCUGGACUUUUUCAGCUAUGAGAACCUUUGAUGAAACACUAUUUUCUACAACCCUCUAUGUUUCUGAAUCUUUU
RNAcentral lists this long non-coding RNA (207 nucleotides) under Nicotiana benthamiana. Its description in RNAcentral is "long non-coding RNA (NBEN_LNC031599)". The record is from RNAcentral. Lineage: Eukaryota; Viridiplantae; Streptophyta; Magnoliopsida; Solanales; Solanaceae.